CUAAGGGUCGCAGCAGUGGGGAAUAUUGCACAAUGAGCGAAAGCUUGAUGCAGCCAUACCGCGUGUGUGAAGAAGGCCCGAGGGUUGUAAAGCACUUUCAAUUGUGAGGAAGGUUCAGUAGUUAAUACCUGCUGUUCUUGACGUUAACUUUAGAAGAAGCACCGGCUAACUCUGUGCCAGCAGCCGGCGGUAAUACAGAGGGUGCAAGCGUUAUUCGGAAUUACUGGGCGUAAAGCGCGCGUAGGCGGACUAUUAAGUCAGUUGUGAAAGCCCUGGGCUCAACCUGGGAACUGCAUCUGAUACUGGUAGUCUAGAGUUUAAGAGAGGGAAGUGGAAUUCCAGGUGUAGCAGUGAAAUGCGUAGAUAUCUGGAGGAACAUCAGUGGCGAAGGCGACUUCCUGGCUUAAAACUGACGCUGAGGUGCGAAAGCGUGGGUAGCGAACGGGAUUAGAUACCCCAGUAGUC
RNAcentral lists this ribosomal RNA (465 nucleotides) under uncultured bacterium. RNAcentral's name for it is "partial 16S ribosomal RNA". It matches the Rfam family "Bacterial small subunit ribosomal RNA", at positions 339 to 795 of the family's 1533-position model. The record is from RNAcentral.